GAUGAAGAACGCAGCGAAAUGCGAUACUUGGUGUGAAUUGCAGAAUCCCGUGAACCAUCGAGUCUUUGAACGCAAGUUGCGCCCGAAGCCAUUAGGCCGAGGGCACGCCUGCCUGGGCGUCACACGUCGUUGCCCCCCCAUCUACUCCUUCGGGAUUGCGGGGGGCGGAUGAUGGCCUCCCGUGCGCCUCGUCGCGCGGUUGGCAUAAAUGCCAAGUCCUCGGCGACGCACGCCACGACAAUCGGUGGUUGCGAAACCUCGGUUGCCCGUCGUGUGCGGUCGUCGCGCAUCGAGGGCUCGAAAAAAUUGUCGGGCUCCGGCUCGGCUUUCAACGCAACCCCAGGUCAGGCGGGGUUACCCGCUGAAUUUAAGCAUAUCAAUAAGCGGAGGA
This 391-nucleotide unclassified non-coding RNA is filed under the name soil metagenome. Its description in RNAcentral is "partial contains 5.8S ribosomal RNA, internal transcribed spacer 2, and large subunit ribosomal RNA". The stretch from base 1 to 122 matches the Rfam family "5.8S ribosomal RNA", at positions 35 to 154 of the family's 154-position model. The record is from RNAcentral.